GCAGCGCCGCCCGCCCGCCCAGAAGCCGGCCCGCGGCGAGGCGCCUGUCCCCGAGGGUAUCUGAAGUGCAGUGCCGCUGCCCGGCAAGGCCCACGAGGACCAUGGCCACUCAAGCCGACCUGAUGGAGCUGGACAUGGCCAUGGAGCCAGACAGGAAGGCGGCUGUCAGUCACUGGCAGCAGCAGUCGUACCUGGACUCUGGGAUCCACUCUGGAGCCACCACCACUGCCCCUUGAGUGGCAAAGGCAACCCCGAGGAGGAGGACGUGGACACCUCGCAGGUCCUGUACGAGUGGGAACAGGGCUUCUCACAGUCCUUCACGUAGGAGCAAGUAGCCGACAUCGACGGCCAGUACGCCAUGACACGCGCACAGCGGGUGCGGGCUGCCAUGUUCCUCGAGACGCUGGAUGAGGGCAUGCAGAUCCCAUCCACGCAGUUUGACGCCGCAUACCCCACCAAUGUCCAGCACCUGGCCGAGCCCUCCCAGAUGCUGAAACAUGCCAUGGUAAACCUGAUUAACUACCAGGAUGAUGCGGAACUUGCCACGCGUGCCAUCCCUGAACUCACAAAGCUGCUCAAUGACGAGGACCAGGUGGUGGUCAACAAGGCCGCGGUGAUGGUGCACCAGCUCUCUAAGAAGGAGGCCUCCAGGCACGCCAUCAUGCACUCUCCUCAAAUGGUGUCUGCUAUCGUGCGCACCAUGCAGAACACGAGUGACGUGGAGACCGCGCGCUGUACCACCGGGACCCUGCACAACCUCUCCCACCACCGCGAGGGCUUGCUGGCCAUCUUCAAGUCCAGCGGCAUUCCCGCGCUUGUGAAGAUGCUGGGCUCCCCAGUGGAUUCAGUGCUGUUCUACGCCAUCACGACUCUUCACAACCUCUUACUACACCAAGAAGGAGCUAAGAUGGCAGUGCGUCUAGCUGGCAGCCUACAGAAGAUGGUGGCAUUGCUCAACAAGACGAAUGUCAAAUUUUUGGCGAUUACGACAGACUGCCUUCAGAUUUUAGCUUAUGGAAAUCAGGAAAGCAAGCUGAUUAUUCUGGCCAGUGGUGGACCCCAGGCUUUAGUGAACAUAAUGAGGACCUGUACUUACGAGAAACUACUGUGGACCACGAGCAGGGUGCUGAAGGUGCUAUCCGUCUGCUCCAGUAACAAGCCGGCCAUCGUGGAAGCUGGUGGGAUGCAGGCGUUGGGACUGCACCUGACAGACCCGAGCCAGCGUCUCGUCCAGAACUGUCUUUGGACAUUGAGGAAUCUCUCUGAUGCUGCGACCAAGCAGGAAGGCAUGGAAGGUCUUCUGGGAACACUGGUCCAGCUGCUGGGGUCCGAUGACAUCAACGUGGUCACCUGUGCCACUGGAAUCCUCUCCAACCUCACUUGUAAUAACUACAAGAACAAGAUGAUGGUGUGCCAGGUGGGCGGCAUAGAGGCCCUGGUGCGCACUGUCCUGCGCGCUGGGGACAGAGAGGACAUCACUGAGCCGGCCAUUUGUGCUCUGUGCCAUCUAACCAGCCGACACCAGGAAGCAGAGAUGGCCCAGAAUGCUGUUCGCCUUCACUAUGGCCUUCCAGUGGUGGUGAAACUCCUGCAUCUGCCAUCGCACUGGCCACUGAUUAAGGCUACGGUUGGAUUGAUUCGCAAUCUUGCCCUCUGUCCAGCAAACCAUGCGCCUCUGCGUGAGCAGGGAGCUAUUCCACGCCUGGUCCAGCUGCUUGUGCAUGCUCAUCAGGACACCCAGCGCCGCACGUCAAUGGGUGGGACGCAGCAGCAGUUUGUGGAGGGGGUCCGCAUGGAGGAGAUUGUCGAAGGCUGUACAGGCGCCUUGCACAUCCUUGCCCGGGACGUGCACAACCGCAUUGUCAUCCGAGGACUCAACACCAUUCCGUUGUUCGUGCAGCUGCUGUACUCUCCCAUCGAGAACAUCCAGAGAGUAGCUGCGGGGGUCCUCUGUGAGCUCGCUCAGGACAAGGAGGCUGCGGAGGCCAUCGAGACAGAGGGGGCCACUGCACCCCUGACAGAGCUGCUGCACUAGCGGAAUGAGGGCGUGGCCACCUACGCGGCGGCCAUGCUCUUCCGGAUGUCUGAGGAUAAGCCACGGGACUACAAGAAGCGGCUGUCCAUAGAGCUCACCAGCUCACUUUUCCGGACAGAGCCCAUGGCCUGGAAUGAGACUGCUGACCUUGGACUUGACAUCGGUGCCCAGGGAGAGCCCCUCGGGUAUCGCCAGGACGACCCCAGCUACCGCUCUUUCCACUCCGGCGGCUACGGCCAGGACGCCUUGGGCAUGGACCCCAUGAUGGAGCACGAGAUGGGGGGCCACCACCCAGGUGCCGACUACCCGGUGGAUGGGCUGCCAGACCUGGGACACGCCCAGGACCUCAUGGAUGGGCUGCCGCCAGGUGACAGCUAUCAGCUGGCCUGGUUCGAUACUGACCUGUAACCUCCUUUAGGAGUAACAAUACAAGUGGAUUUGGGGAGUGACUGGAGAAGUGAAGCGUGCACAAGGAGUGGAUCACAGAUGGAAUUUAUGAAGCCCUAGCCUUGCUUGAUAUGAGUUUUUUUUUAAAUAUCUGUAAUGGUACUGACUGCUUGCUUUGGAGUAGCUCUUUAAAUUUCCCCCUUUUUUUUGCAGUAACUGUUAGUUUUUUAAGUCUUGUAGUGUUAUGUUAUAGUGAAUUCUGCUGCAGCAAUUUCUAAUUUUUAAGAAUCGAGUAAUGGUGUAGAACACUAAUCCAUAAUCACUCUAUUGUAAUCUGAAGAAAGUGUAACAUUGUGUAGCCUUUUUGUAUAAAAUAGACAAAUAGAAAUGG
Octodon degus (degu) is the source of this 2813-nucleotide RNA transcript. It is a transcript of the gene named catenin beta-1 pseudogene, with no coding region annotated. NCBI's taxonomy places the organism in Eukaryota, Metazoa, Chordata, Mammalia, Rodentia, Octodontidae. The record is from RefSeq and is a predicted model, not a curated record. The transcript has a single exon.